AGAAAUAAGAAAAAAUAUCGAAUUCAAAAGAACUAUAGUCUUCAAUAUGUGUGAUCUGUAUACACAAAUGAAAAACAAACAGAUCGUUGACAGAAGAAAAAAAC
RNAcentral lists this small RNA (104 nucleotides) under Arabidopsis thaliana (thale cress). RNAcentral describes it as "ATSL185820". Lineage: Eukaryota; Viridiplantae; Streptophyta; Magnoliopsida; Brassicales; Brassicaceae. The record is from RNAcentral.